RNAcentral lists this long non-coding RNA (7938 nucleotides) under Olea europaea subsp. europaea. The record is from RNAcentral. Lineage: Eukaryota; Viridiplantae; Streptophyta; Magnoliopsida; Lamiales; Oleaceae.
CUAGGAGAAGAUCAAUAACAGAAAAAGGCAACAAACAGAACGCAGUGUUUUCCAGUGCUUUGUUUUUGGACCUAAAAAGGCCGGAAAGUCGGCAUUGUUGAUGUCAUUGUUGGGAAGGUUUAGUUCUCAAUCUAUAUCUGCACCUAUAUAACUAUCAGAGUAAAAAUGAUUAUUUGGUUGUCUUUGUCCAAAUUUCUUGAUACUGAUCAGUAAUAUCAUUUAUUUCCAUUUCAAGACAACACACAGCACAGACUCCAUGUUCUAACUAAACAAACUAUAUUUCUUCGUGUUGUUAGUGUGUUUUUUAUUCCCCUUUAGGCAAAUGUAGAUAUUUUUUUUCUUCUGAAAACAGACCCUUUUCUGACAAUUAUGUUCCAACAACCAGCGAACAAUAUGUUGUAAAUGUUGUUGAACAGCAUGCGGUGAGUAUUAGUUUCAUAUCACCAUGCCAAUGACUAGAUGGAUACAGUGUUCAUAUCUUCCUCUCACUAACUCUAUCUAUGGUGGGUGGGUGCAUGAAAAUGUGAAGUAUGGCCUGAAUUCUUUAAAAUUUAAGCUGUGACUUGUGUUUAUGAUGCUUUUGAUGCAAUAAUCUACCUCUUCCUGAAGCAGGGCAAUAAGAAAACUCUUGUACUUCGGGAGACUCCAGAAGACGGUGUGAAGAAACAUAUCAAAUAAGGAAUCCUUGGCUGCGUGCGAUGUAGCAAUUUUUGUUUAUGACAGGUGACUUAUGCUAUGCCACAAUUUAUAACAAACCACAAUUGGACUUCUCGGAUUUGAAUAUUGUGUAGCUGUGACACUUUAGCUAUUUAACCACUCCCCAGCCCCCAGCCUGCAAAAAGGAAAUGGAAUUAAAUAGUCACCCUACGUGCAUGAAUACUAGUGUUUUGAUAGAUAAUUUUAUCAAUUGAUAGGCCACCGGUUAAAUACACUUAUUCUAGAAGAAACAAAAAGAGUGGAGGAGUGAGGGCAGUAACCAAUUCUGUUAGUGUAGCAGGGAGGGGUGAGUAAAUUCUGUUACGAAGACUAUAAAUAAGGGCUGAAUAAAAGUGUUUGGCAUGCAAAAAAAUUAAGUGAGGAAAACAUAGUGAGGAGAGUCUCAGCCCUCUCGAACGGCUGCUUAUGUUCGUCCCUUUAUUUCUUGUAAUUCAAUUUACUUCAAAUUAAUACAGUUUUCCUUUUCACCGCUACUUGCCUUUUAAUACAGCUAAACCCUAUCAAUCUGGUAUCAGAGCACUGCAACACCAAUCACCACCAUGACACUAGCCGAACGAGUUGGAGAAUUGGAGCAGAAGGUGGAUACUAAUCACCAAGAGCUUCAGAUGGGUAUUGAAUCACUCCGUUCGGAGUUCAAAAUGAUGCAUGUCGGGAUGACAGAGAGGUUCGAAAUGCUGAUGUGCAAUUGGGAUAUCCACGAGAAGGAGAGAAAGGAGAAGGGUCCGGCAACGGAGAAAUCACCGAUGAUGACUGUUGACUCCGGGUUAACACAGUUAAGACCCGGCAGCAGCCGAAGCAAUGAGGGAGGAUCGAGCAGUGACUGGCGUGGGGAGUCUCGGGUUCGGCGACUGCAGAUGCCCGUUUUUGAAGGGGGCGAUCUGGAUGGUUGGGUGUUUCGAGUAGAAAGGUAUUUUGGGAUUAAUAGGCUCACUGAAGAAGAGAAGGUGGAGGCGGCCGCCCUUUGUUUUGACGGCGAGGCAUUGGCAUGAUAUCAAUGGGAGGAGAAGCGUAAACCGAUGAGUAGUUGGGGAGAGGUGAAGACCCAGCUGCUAAGACGGUUUCGACCCUCUCAAGAAGGGUCUCUGUGUGCUCAAUUCUUGUCACUCCGGUAGAAUUCGACGGUUCGGGAAUACCGUCGACGGUUUGAGAUGUUGGCUUCUCCAUUGACAUCGGUGUCUGAAGAAGUCAUGGAGUGUAAUUUUCUUAAUGGACUCAAACCAGUUAUAAGGGCCGAAGUCCAACUGCAUAGGCCAGUGGGCUUGGAACAGAUUAUGGAGGUGGCCCAAAUGGUUGAAGACAAGAACUCCAUCAUCCACUCAGCUUCUGGUAACAUUGGCCCAAACAAACCCAAAGCCUUCCAUUAUAACAGCCCAAAUCCUUCUCAACCCACAAUCUUCCACACCCGAAACACGAUUCCAGUGAACCUUAAUCCUAUGCGCCCUAAUUUCUCCCCCAAAAAUUCCGCCAACUUUAAACGCCUCACUGACGCCGAGCUUCAAGCCAAGAAAGAGAAGGGAUUAUGCUAUAGAUGUGAUGAAAAAAUUACAAUUGGGCACAAAUGUAAGAAUAAGGAAUUGCAAGUAUUGGUCGUUCGAGAAAUGGAAGAAGGUGAGGUACGGACAGAGACAAUUCAAGCCGACGAACUGAGCUUCGGCUACAACGAAGGAGAAGGGAAACCAGUGUUGACCGAGGAAGAAGCCAUAGGACCGGGCCAGCCGGUUAAACUCUCCAUAAACUUUGUGGUCGGCCUUACAGCCCCGGGCACUAUGAAGCUGCUGGGAAGACUUGGCUCGAAGGAUGUGGUUGUUUUAGUGGAUAGUGGAGCAUCACACAAUUUUAUUUCGGCAGAAUUGGUCCAGCAGCUGGGUUACCCCCUAUCCAGUACAACAAGCUAUGGAGCGGUUAUGGGCACCGGCUUAACAGUAAAAGGGGAAGGGAUUUGCCGACGGGUGCCUUUGAAGCUGCUAGGGCUGUUGGUGGAAGAAGACUUCUUACCAUUAGAACUGGGCAGCUCCGAUGUCAUAUUGGGAAUACAAUGGCUCAGGUCCUUGGGAAAAAUGCAAGUGGAUUGGAAGGCCCUGAUUAUGUCUUUUGACGUCGGAGGAGCUAAAGUGACUCUGCAGGGGGACCCAAGCCUUAGCAAGACCCCUGUAUCAUUGAAGUCCAUGUUGAAAGCUUUUAAGGAGUAAGGGGAAGGCCUCUUAUUGGAAUUGGGAAGUAUCACCAUUAAUCCCAGUCCUGUCUCAGGCCUUCCGUCGGGAAUCAUUGCUGAUGUUCUGGAGGAGUUCAACUCAGUCUUCGAAUCCCCUACUCAGUUGCCACCAAAAAGAAAUCAAGAGCACGCAAUCACUUUGAAGGCAGGGGCAGAACUAGUCAGAGUGAGACCAUACCGUUACCCCCACUUCCAAAAGAAUGAGAUUGAGCAGUUGGUGAAAGAAAUGUUAGCUGCCGAAAUUAUCCAGAAUAGCACCAGCCCCUUUGCAAGUCCUGUACUGCUAGUAAGGAAGAAGGAUGGCAGUUGGCGAUUUUGCGUGGACUACAGGGCUUUAAACAAAGUCACUGUGCCCGACAAGUUUCCAAUUCCAGUAAUAGAUGAGUUACUGGAUGAGCUGAACGGAGCCACGGCAUUCUCAAAAAUCGACCUUAAGUCGGGAUAUCACCAAAUUCUAGUUAAGGUUGAAGAUGUGCCGAAGACUGCUUUCCGAACUCACGAGGGACAUUAUGAGUUCCUAGUCAUGCCCUUCGGCUUGACUAAUGCACCAGCCACUUUUCAGUCAGUCAUGAACUCCUUCUUCAGAGAGCAACUCCGGAAGUAUGUGUUAGUCUUUUUUGAUAACAUAUUGGUCUACAGUCGCACGGAGAUAGAGCAUCGGGAUCAUUUGCGGACGGUCUUAAGGAUCUUACCGGAAAACCAGUUUGUUGCAAAUAGGAAGAAAUGCUUAUUUGGACAAACAGAGAUAGAGUAUUUGGGUCACAUAAUCUCAGAAAAAGGAGUGGCGGCAGAUGAAUCAAAACUGAUGGCUAUGCGGGACUGGCCACAGCCUCAAACGAUCAAAGAGUUGCGAGGAUUCUUGGGGUUGACAAGGUAUUACCGGAGAUUUGUGGAGGGAUACGGAAAGAUAGCGUGGCCUCUAACCCAGCUAUUGAAGAUGGAUAGCUUCCGGUGGAAUGAUGCAGCAGAAUUGGCCUUUAGACAAUUAAAAGAAGCAAUGAUAAAAGUUCCAGUGUUGGCACUCCCUGAUUUCUCGCAGCCCUUCAUAAUGGAAACUGAUGCUUCUGGUCACGGAUUAGGAGCUGUCCUAAUGCAAAACCAGAGGCUAAUAGCCUAUUUCAGCCAAACACUCCCACCAAGAAGUCAGAAUAAAUCAGUUUAUGAACGGGAACUCAUGGCUAUUGUUAUGGCAGUACAAAAAUGGAGGCAUUACUUGCUGGGAAGAAGAUUCGUGGUCAGGACAGAUCAGAAGAGUCUUAAGUUUCUCAUGGAACAACGUUUAGUGAAUGUAGAAUAUUAGAAGUGGCUAACAAAGUUGCUGGGUUUUGACUUGGUGAUUGAGUACAAGCCGGGACUGGAGAAUAAGGCAGUAGACGCACUUUCGCAUAAAGGGGCAGCAGUUUCUUUAAUGGUUCUCAGCAUACCGAGUUAUCUGCAUCUCAAUGAGAUAAGAAGGACAGUGGAAGAGGAUCCUGAGUUGGGUCGAAUUGUGACUGCCCUGAAAGACGAUUCCUCCUCUUGCCCAGGUUAUGCCCUAGUAAAUGAGGUCCUAUUGUAUAAAGACCGGAUAGCACUACCCAGAAAUUCUCCCUUCACUCUACUGGCAUUGAAGGAGGGACACGAUAGUAAGGUGGGGGGUCAUGGAGGUUUCCUCAAGACUUACAAAAGGAUAGCUGAGACUUUCCACUGGGUGGGUAUGAAGAAGGAGAUUAGGAAUUAUGUUGCUACCUGUGAAGUGUGUCAACAGCACAAAUAUUCCACUUUGGCGCCUGCAGGUCUAUUAUAGCCACUUCCUGUGCCAGAGAAAAUUUGGGAGGAUGUAUAUAUGGAUUUCAUAGAAGGAUUGCCCAGGUUAGAGGGAUACGAUCCCAUACUGGUUGUGGUAGACCGCUUGAGCAAAUAUGUCCACUUUAUUAGCUUGAAACAUCCAUUCACGGCACCAUCAGUGGCAGCGAUAUUUAUUAAAGAAGUGGUUCGGCUGCAUGGGAUCCCCAGUCAAUCGUGUCUGAUCGGGAUAAAGUAUUUGUGUGCCACUUUUGGAACGAGCUAUUUCGCCUACGGGGAACCAAACUGAGGGUCAGUACAGCUUAUCAUCCCCAAUCCGACGGCCAGACUGAAGUGGUGAAUAGGGUGAUUGAAACCUACUUGCGGUGCUUUGCUUCAUUCAGGCCGAAAGAAUGGGUCCGUUUCCUACCUUGGGCUGAGUUGUCUUAUAAUACAUCCUUCCAUGUGUCUGCACAACUAACGCCCUUCCGGGUAGUAUACGGACGAGACCCUCCCCCCUUGUUGCGUUUUGAAAAAGGAAUGACGGCUGUUUCAUCCUUAGAUCAACUAUUGACAGAGAGAGACAAAAUCUUGGACGAACUCAAGAUACAUUUGGCUAAAGCACAACAGCAGAUGAAGCACUCCGCUGAUAAGCACAGAAGGGCAGUGGAAUUCUCAACGGGUGACUGGGUUUAUUUGAAAAUGCGUCCUUACCAUCGCAAGACUCUAGCACGACGCGUUAGUGAGAAACUCUCCCCUCGAUACUAUGGACCAUUUAAAGUAAUAGCCAGGGUUGGAGUGGUAGCUUAUCGGUUGGAACUACUUUCGGGAACACAAAUUCAUCCAGUGUUUCACGUAUCACAAUUACGAAAAGCAAUGGGGGAGCAUCAUUUCUCUUUGGACUUGCCGAGCAACUUGGGGGCAAACUGGGAGUUAAUGGUUGAACCAGAAGCAGUGCUGGGAAUUAGAACAGUAGCACAAGGCACAACAGGCGGGCUGGAAGUACUUAUCCAAUGGAAGGGCUUACCUCCGCUAGAGGCUACGUGGGAACCAGGCUAUCUCAUCAACCAACAAUUUCCCUCUUUCCACCUUGAGGACAAGGUGGCUGAAUUUGGNNNNNNNNNNNNNNNNNNNNNNNNNNNNNNNNNNNNNNNNNNNNNNNNNNNNNNNNNNNNNNNNNNNNNNNNNNNNNNNNNNNNNNNNNNNNNNNNNNNNNNNNNNNNNNNNNNNNNNNNNNNNNNNNNNNNNNNNNNNNNNNNNNNNNNNNNNNNNNNNNNNNNNNNNNNNNNNNNNNNNNNNNNNNNNNNNNNNNNNNNNNNNNNNNNNNNNNNNNNNNNNNNNNNNNNNNNNNNNNNNNNNNNNNNNNNNNNNNNNNNNNNNNNNNNNNNNNNNNNNNNNNNNNNNNNNNNNNNNNNNNNNNNNNNNNNNNNNNNNNNNNNNNNNNNNNNNNNNNNNNNNNNNNNNNNNNNNNNNNNNNNNNNNNNNNNNNNNNNNNNUCUUGUCAAAUUCAAUUUUCUUUUUCAGCUCGAGCGAAUAUUCUCUAAGAAGAACAUCAGAGUUGCUUGUGGAUGUCACUAAGCAACGGGAAGAAUCUGGUUUUAACAUGCCUUGUCUCCUAGCUGCAGCUAAGCAUGAUCUCGGUUCAUAUCCACUGGCUAGUGGCUAUGAAAGAGUCAGCAAAAGUAUUCAGUUGCUACUCAACCCUACUUCCUUGCUUCUGGAACUCAUGCAAUGAGACUUGAAGUGCUUACCUGGACACUUCACCCACACAGAACAAUGUGAAGAAAUAAAUGAAUUAUACUCUAUAUGUUUCCUAUUCCAUUUCAGAUUUAAGCACUUUUUAUAAUUCUGUGCAUUCACUAUUCACGUAAGCAUGAAAGAAAGAGAUCUUAAUAACGUGUUCUCUAAAAUUGUGAAUGUGGCUGAGAAGCCCCAUUUAAGUUUUCCAGAAACUGAUGCUGGUCGGAAUCGGAAGCGGUACUGCCAGCUCGUUAAUCACUCUCUUAUAUUUGUUUCAGAUAUCUUUUAUAUACAUAGUAAUAUUUAUCUGAGCUUUUUGGCGCUAAAGGGGACCAACUCCUGAGGAAAUUGUAGUGAGUUUAGUGACUAGGGUGUUGUGGGAGGGAUCCCACAUCCAACAUAUAUCAAAGUUCUAUUAUACGUCUUUAGAUCAUUUAUGUUGUAGGUUAUCAGUUACCUACUAGGCACCCUUAAUAUAAUUAGUGUUGUCCUUACCUGAAACCAUAAUGGUAAAAUUCCCAGUUCUUGAACCACGGAAACAUCAAACAUGUAUGCAUGCACAAAGAUCUACAUUAAAAUAGUGGGAACAUGAGAUUCAAUAUGAUUUUGCAAUGCAUGUGCCUUUUUUCUUUUACUCUUCAGGGUAAAUUGCAUGCUAUUACUCUCUUCAACGAAAAAUUGCAGUUGCCGCGGCAAAUGCUUUUGUUGGAAUGGCUGCCUACAGAGCCUAUGUUACAAGGGAGAACUGCGCCAGUUAAAUCUCCUCAUUUCCGUACACGAAUUGGCUAAAUUGCAUCAUUUCAAAUGACAUAAUAAAAGCCGGUGGGUAUCACAUACCCCUCUUAUCAUUUUAUGUUAUCAUUGUUACGUACGUACUCAACCAUAUAGUUUGUACAGAGUGCGUGCUUGCUCGUUUACUGCCAGUGCUGAAAUUUUUUACUGAAAAUCAUCAGCUUCGCUAUAACUGCAUCAAUACUGUCUGUAUAUAUAACAAAUAUGUGCAGUGGGGUUAGCUAUUUUUUGGAAAAUUGGCGCGCACACAUUAACAGUUUGGAGACCGAACAUUCUAAUUUCUCCUAGUUUUCCAGCUUUAGUCUUUAAAUCAUUAUAUUGCAGUUAAUUGCCUAAGAAGUUAAUAAACAAUUUAACAUGGCAGGUUUAGGCUAAAGGGCAUUAUAGGGUAUAUCCCUCUGGAUUCAGGGACUGGACUUGAUCUAAGGGGCUGUGAUACCUUAUAUGACAUGGCUGCUCACUUUCUUUAGAAGGGCCAUGCUUGAAAUUGCAGAAUUUGGAGGACACGAAUGGCACUGUUAAAUGGACUGUUAAUGAUGUGAGUGCUCUUUUCUGUUAAUGAAUGCUAUUUUGGAAAAAAGAUUUUUGUCUUUCCAGUGGGGGGACUUUAGUGAGGAUUUACUCGUUUAAUCGUUCAAAAUUGACUCAAGACAGGUACAAUGGAUUUGGCACGAAUUUUAUUUGAAUAUACACAAGCUCGACCCAAAUUCAUU